This 424-nucleotide ribosomal RNA is filed under the name uncultured bacterium. Its description in RNAcentral is "partial 16S ribosomal RNA". It matches the Rfam family "Bacterial small subunit ribosomal RNA", at positions 354 to 796 of the family's 1533-position model. The record is from RNAcentral.
GUGGGGAAUAUUGCACAAUGGGCGAAAGCCUGAUGCAGCAACGCCGCGUGAAGGAAGAAGGCCCUUGGGUCGUAAACUUCUGUUCUAAGGGAAGAUAAUGACGGUACCUUAGGAGCAAGUCCCGGCUAACUACGUGCCAGCAGCCGCGGUAAUACGUAGGGGGCGAGCGUUAUCCGGAAUUAUUGGGCGUAAAGAGUACGUAGGUGGUUAUCUAAGCGAGGGGUUUAAGGCAAUAGCUCAACUAUUGUUUGCCCCGCGAACUGGGUGACUUGAGUGCUGGAGAGGAAAGCGGAAUUCCUAGUGUAGCGGUGAAAUGCGUAGAUAUUAGGAGGAACAUCAGUGGCGAAGGCGGCUUUCUGGACAGUAACUGACACUGAGGUACGAAAGUGUGGGGAGCAAACAGGAUUAGAUACCCGGGUAGUCC